CAGAGGUUUGGUCCUAGCCUUAUGGUUAAUUAGAGGAAGAAUUACACAUGCAAAGAUCCCUAAACCAGUGUCAAAUCCCUUAUAAUUCUACCUAGAAUUUAAGGAGAGGGUAUCAAGUACAUUCUUAUAGCUAAAAACACCUUGCCUAGCCACACCCCCACGGGACCCAGCAGUGAUAAAUAUUUAGCAAUAAAUGAAAGUUUGACUAAGUCAUUCCUCUUAGGGUUGGUAAAUUUCGUGCCAGCCACCGCGGUCAUACGAUUAACCCAAACUAACCAUAGACGGCGUAAAACGUGAAUAUGGAAACCAAUAUUAAUAGAAUUAAAACUCAGCUAAUAAGUAAAAAUUCAUCGCUGACUAUAAAAUCAAUAACGAAAGUAAUUCUACCAAUCCUAAUGCACGAAAGCUAAGACCCAAACUGGGAUUAGAUACCCCACUAUGCCUAGCCAUAAACUUAAAUAAUUAAAUAACGAAAUUAUUUGCCAGAGAACUACUAGCUACAGCUUAAAACUCAAAGGACUUGGCGGUACUUUAUAUCCACCUAGAGGAGCCUGUUCUAUAAUCGAUAUACCCCGCUACACCUCACCGUCUCUUGCUAAUUCAGCCUAUAUACCGCCAUCUCCAGCAAACCCUAAAAAGGAACCACAGUAAGCUCAAGAAUGACCAUAAAGACGUUAGGUCAAGGUGUAGCCUAUGAGACGGAAAGCAAUGGGCUACAUUUUCUUACUCAAGAACACUCACGCUACCCUCUAUGAAAUAGGGAGGGCCAAGGAGGAUUUAGUAGUAAAUUAAGAAUGAGAGCUUAAUUGAACAGAGCAAUGAAGUACGUACACACCGCCCGUCACCCUCCUCAAAUUAGACUAGCGACGCACCAAUAAAUAAUAUAAGUCAAAGCCUCUGAGAGGAGAUAAGUCGUAACAAGGUAAGCAUACUGGAAAGUGUGCUUGGA
RNAcentral lists this non-coding RNA (949 nucleotides) under Nesomys rufus (island mouse). RNAcentral describes it as "12S ribosomal RNA". It matches the Rfam family "Bacterial small subunit ribosomal RNA". The record is from RNAcentral. Lineage: Eukaryota; Metazoa; Chordata; Mammalia; Rodentia; Nesomyidae.